Molecule: ribosomal RNA, 327 nt
Filed under: uncultured eukaryote
Lineage: Eukaryota
Description: partial 18S ribosomal RNA
Rfam family: Eukaryotic small subunit ribosomal RNA
Source: RNAcentral
CCCUUAGAUGUUCUGGGCCGCACGCGCGCUACACUGACGAAUGCAACGAGCUUAUAACCUUGGCCGAAAGGUCUGGGUAAUCUCCAAAUUUCGUCGUGAUGGGGAUAGAUUAUUGCAAUUAUUAAUCUUCAACGAGGAAUGCCUAGUAAGCGCAAGUCAUCAGCUUGCGUUGAUUACGUCCCUGCCCUUUGUACACACCGCCCGUCGCUCCUACCGAUUGAAUGGUCCGGUGAAGCGCUCGGACCGCGGCCUCUUGACGGUUCGCUGUCGAUUGGCUGUGGGAAGUUCGUUAAACCUUNUNAUUUAANGGAAGGAGAANUCGUANCA